AGUGAACGCUGGCGGCGUGCCUAAUACAUGCAAGUCGAACGCAGUGGCGCACGGGGGAGUAAUAUAUAGUUAAUCUGGCCUACACAGAGGAAAAACAGUUGGAAACGACUGCUAAUACCUCAUAGUGUAGGAUGAGACUAUAUCGUAUCAGCUAGUUGGUAAGGUAAUGGCUUACCAUGGCUAUGACGCGUAACUGGUCUGAGAGGAUGAUCAGCAACAUUGUAACGGAGGCACCGUCCAGGAUCCUACGGCAAGGGGCGGUAAGGAGUACUGCGCAAUGGGGGAAACCCUAACGCAGCUUCGCCGCGUAAAGCAUGACACUUUUCGAAGCGUAAACUCCUUUUAUCAGGAAAGCGGUACCUGAUGAAUAAGCACCGGCUAACUCCGUGCCAGCAGCCGCGGUAAUAC
This 408-nucleotide ribosomal RNA is filed under the name uncultured bacterium. RNAcentral describes it as "partial 16S ribosomal RNA". It matches the Rfam family "Bacterial small subunit ribosomal RNA", at positions 29 to 526 of the family's 1533-position model. The record is from RNAcentral.